GGUUAAGUGAAUAAGGGCGCACGGUGGAUGCCUUGGCACUAGGAGCCGAUGAAGGACGGGACUAACACCGAUAUGCUUUGGGGAGCUGUAAGUAAGCUAUGAUCCAGAGAUUUCCGAAUGGGGGAACCCAGCAUCUUUUAUAGGAUGUUACUUUUCAGUGAAUACAUAGCUGAUUAGAGGUAGACGCAGAGAACUGAAACAUCUAAGUACCUGCAGGAAGAGAAAGAAAAUUCGAUUCCCUGAGUAGCGGCGAGCGAAACGGGAAAAGCCCAAACCAAGAUGCUUGCAUCUUGGGGUUGUAGGACUCCAAUAUGGUAGUACGAUCAGAUAGUCGAAUGACUUGGAAAAGUCAGUCAAAGAGGGUAAAAACCCCGUAGACGAAAUUUGGUAUGCACCUAGGAGGAUCCUGAGUACGGCGGAACACGAGAAAUUCCGUCGGAAUCCGGGAGGACCAUCUCCCAAGGCUAAAUACUCCCUAGUGACCGAUAGUGAACCAGUACCGUGAGGGAAAGGUGAAAAGCACCCCGGAAGGGGAGUGAAAUAGAUCCUGAAACCGUGUGCCUACAACAAGUCAAAGCCCGUUAAUGGGUGAUGGCGUGCCUUUUGUAGAAUGAACCGGCGAGUUACGAUUGCAUGCGAGGUUAAGCUGAAGAGGCGGAGCCGUAGCGAAAGCGAGUCUGAAUAGGGCGUUUUAGUAUGUAGUCGUAGACCCGAAACCAUGUGAUCUACCCAUGUCCAGGUUGAAGGUGCGGUAAAACGCACUGGAGGACCGAACCCACGUACGUUGAAAAGUGCGGGGAUGAGGUGUGGGUAGCGGAGAAAUUCCAAUCGAACUUGGAGAUAGCUGGUUCUCUCCGAAAUAGCUUUAGGGCUAGCCUCGGAUUUAAGAAUGAUGGAGGUAGAGCACUGUUUGGACUAGGGGCCCAUCUCGGGUUACCGAAUUCAGAUAAACUCCGAAUGCCAUUCAUUUAUAUCCGGGAGUCAGACUGUGAGUGAUAAGAUCCAUAGUCGAAAGGGAAACAGCCCAGACCACUAGCUAAGGUCCCAAAAUAUAUGUUAAGUGGAAAAGGAUGUGGGGUUGCACAGACAACUAGGAUGUUGGCUCAGAAGCAGCCACCAUUUAAAGAGUGCGUAAUAGCUCACUAGUCGAGUGACCCUGCGCCGAAAAUGUACCGGGGCUAAACAUAUUACCGAAGCUGUGGAGUGUACCUUUGGUACACUGGUAGGAGAGCGUUCUAAGGGCGUUGAAGGUAGACCGUGAGGACUGCUGGAGCGCUUAGAAGUGAGAAUGCCGGUAUGAGUAGCGAAAGACAGGUGAGAAUCCUGUCCACCGAAUGACUAAGGUUUCCUGGGGAAGGCUCGUCCGCCCAGGGUUAGUCGGGACCUAAGCCGAGGCCGACAGGCGUAGGCGAUGGACAACAGGUUGAUAUUCCUGUACUCGUUGUUUUUGUUUGAGCAAUGGAGGGACGCAGGAGGCUAAGGAAUGCAGACGAUCGGAAAUGUCUGUCCAAGCAACAAGUCUUAGUGAGAGUCAAAUGCUUUCACUUUCAAGGACAAGUUGUGAUGGGGAGGGAAAUAAUAGUACCGAAGUUCCUGAUGUCACACUGCCAAGAAAAGCUUCUAGUG
Ribosomal RNA from Enterococcus sulfureus ATCC 49903, 1626 nucleotides. It matches the Rfam family "Bacterial large subunit ribosomal RNA", at positions 1 to 1627 of the family's 2925-position model. The record is from Rfam. NCBI's taxonomy places the organism in Bacteria, Bacillati, Bacillota, Bacilli, Lactobacillales, Enterococcaceae.